This 481-nucleotide ribosomal RNA is filed under the name uncultured Methanosaeta sp. RNAcentral describes it as "bacterial SSU rRNA". It matches the Rfam family "Archaeal small subunit ribosomal RNA", at positions 856 to 1338 of the family's 1478-position model. Lineage: Archaea; Methanobacteriati; Methanobacteriota; Methanomicrobia; Methanotrichales; Methanotrichaceae. The record is from RNAcentral.
UUAAAUGAAUUGACGGGGAGCACCACAACGGGUGGAGCUUGCGGUUUAAUUGGAUUCAACGCCGGAAAUCUUACCGGGACCGACAGCAAUAUGAAGGCCAGGCUGAAGACUUUGCCGGAUUAGCUGAGAGGUGGUGCAUGGCCGUCGUCAGUUCGUACUGUGAAGCAUCCUGUUAAGUCAGGCAACGAGCGAGACCCACGCCCACAGUUGCCAGCGUACUCUCUGGAGUGACGGGUACACUGUGGGACCGCCGCUGCUAAAGCGGAGGAAGGAAUGGGCAACGGUAGGUCAGUAUGCCCCGAAUAUCCCGGGCUACACGCGAGCUACAAUGGUUGGUACAAUGGGUAUCUACCCCGAAAGGGGACGGGAAUCUCCUAAAACCAAUCUUAGUUCGGAUUGAGGGCUGCAACUCGCCCUCAUGAAGCUGGAAUCCGUAGUAAUCGCGUUUCAACAGAACGCGGUGAAUACGUCCCUGCUCCUU